This 115-nucleotide small nucleolar RNA is filed under the name Carlito syrichta (Philippine tarsier). RNAcentral's name for it is "Small nucleolar RNA SNORA51 (ENSTSYG00000023660.2)". It matches the Rfam family "Small nucleolar RNA SNORA51". From Rfam's summary of the family: ACA51 is a member of the H/ACA class of snoRNA that guide the sites of modification of uridines to pseudouridines. The record is from Rfam by way of RNAcentral. Lineage: Eukaryota; Metazoa; Chordata; Mammalia; Primates; Tarsiidae.
GGCAUCCUGGUGCUUACCACAGGCCAUGUUCUUACAUUGACUGUAUAGAAAAAGAAAGCAGAGAAAAUCUACUCUAUAUACACCUCAGUCCAUUCUUGUGAAUGGGGGGAAAUGG